Molecule: long non-coding RNA, 1035 nt
Organism: Pseudopipra pipra
Lineage: Eukaryota; Metazoa; Chordata; Aves; Passeriformes; Pipridae
Exons: 2
Source: RefSeq, a predicted model, not a curated record
UGGACCUCAACAAAAGAAAAAAGGAGGUCAAACAUAGUGUUUCAGUAUAUCCUCUGGUAUUUCACUUUUUCCUCCCACAGACAGGACUUGGCAUUUUCCUUUCUUGAACUUUAUAAGGAUUCUGUUGACUCAUUUCUCUAGACUGGCAAGGUCCCUUUGAAUGGCAGCAUACCCAUUUGAUGUAUCACCUACUCCUCCCAGUGUUGAGUAAUUUGCAAAGUUGCUGAGGGUGCAGUCUCAUCGUUCAGGCUGCUAAUGAAGAUGUUAUGUAGUAUUAACUCCUGGGUUACACCACUAGUGACUGGCCAGCUGGCCUCCAGCUUGACCUCAUGCCCCUGAUCACAACCCUCUGAGUCUGACAGUUCAGGUAGUUUUCAAUUCACCCCACUGUCCAUUUAUUUAGUCUUUAUUUCAUCAGUUUCUCUGUAAUGGUGUUAUGAGGGACAGUGUUGAAAGCCAACAUAAAUAAGAUCCACUGCUCUCCCUUCCUCCAACAAGUCACAUCUCAUCAUAGGGGAGGCACGAUCUUCACUUUGUAAAUCAAUGCUGACUGCUCCCCAACACCUUCUCCUUAAUAUGUUUGGGGAUCAUUCACAGCAUCCCUUUCCCAGGGUCUGAGGUGAGACUGCCUGCCCUGUAGAUUCUUGGAUCCUCCUUUUUGCCCCUCUCGAAGAAAGCAGUGACAUUUGGGUUUUUUCCAGUCCCCAGAACCUUCUCUGAUCACCGUCACCUUUCAGAGAUUAGUGAGAGUGGCCUCACAAUGACAUCAGCCCCAUGGUGUCAUAGCUUACAUAACUCAAAUCUAGAGGAAGCAACACAUUCCAUGAAUUGCAGGAUUGGCAGGGAGGAAGAAAACCAGUCCUUAAUUGUACAUGACUGUGAACUUUAGCCUUUGCAAUUAAGAUCAAGACUCAUUAAUGAACAUGGAAAAAUUACUCCAGCUACAGAAGCAAUUGUCUGAUAGUAGGAAGACAAGGAAAAGAUGCCUGAAAUUACAACCCAGUUAAAUGUGAUAAAUAAAAAUAUCAAUAAAAA